RNAcentral lists this long non-coding RNA (2350 nucleotides) under Salvator merianae (Argentine black and white tegu). RNAcentral describes it as "lncRNA (ENSSMRG00000021471.1)". Lineage: Eukaryota; Metazoa; Chordata; Lepidosauria; Squamata; Teiidae. The record is from RNAcentral.
GGGGGAAGAAGAGAAAGCUGCUGGCUCCGCCCUUUCCCUGUUGUUCCUUCCUUCUUAGUUCCUGUGUUGUAUUUUCCCCUGUGUGUGCAAGGGUGUGAGUGUGAGGCAGGCACGCGCACUCGUGCGUUGUUGUUGCUGCUACUGCUGCCACUGCUGCUGCCGCUGCCCAUCUUUCUCCACCCCCCCUACCGGGCGGGGGGGGAAAAUCACUGGUGUCAUAUGAGAGGAGGGCUUGCUAUGAUGAAUCAGUUUUUCCCUUGAGCAGAAUGGGAGAGCUUGAAUGAAGGAGGUUGACUCCUCUCCUUUAUCUUAUUUAAACACAACCCGACAAGUCGGAGGGUUUUUGAAGUGCUGGAUGCCAGUUCAAAGUUCACAAAGCAUCACCCCCCUCUCCCUCCAAAGUGCAGUAGUUUGUGUGUGUGUGUGUNUGUGUUUAAAGCAAGAUGGCGGACUUGCACUGAAGGAACGGCAACCCAGAAGGCUCGCAAAGGCAGCCGAGCCGCCGCCUGCUGCACGGUGGAAAGAUGGCGUUCCUCCCGGCUGCAAGAACAGAUGGGUAUAAAGCCAGAAUCUCUAAGGAUACAUAAAGGAAGUAACUAAUUGCAGAAGUUUCCCCAAGACCUCCAAAAGAACAUCUGAGCUCAGCGAUAGGUACUUUACUUUCUGAGAUGCGCUAGUUUUGUUUCCAGUCAGUUAGAAGAUCCCUAUCAUCUGUCACCUUGACUGUUGCACUUUCCUCUGCUGAUGAAUUCACUCAUUUCUCUACCACCUAAUGUCCCAGCUCAAAUCCCCAUACUGCCCCCUUUCUUCUCCAAUGCAGCUCCCGCUUCUUAAACUUUAUCUCAUUUCUCAAGGUUUAUUUAUCUGUGGCAUAUAUAUCUCGCCUUUCUUUCUUUCUUUAUCUCAAGGCUUAUUUAUCUAUGGCAUAUAUAUCUCGCCUUUCUUCCAACCCCCUCCCCCCCCAAAAAAAAGAUGAUGACACUGUUGUCCCUUACAUUUUAACCUCACAACAACCCUUUAGGCUGAGAAGCAGUGACUGGCCGAGGUCAUCCAGUGGUCUUUAGUGACUGAGUAGAGAUUUGGACCUUGGGGACUCCCUUUUUCUAGACUGAUACUUUAGCUGCUAUUUCGUGCUGGCUCUCAACUUCGUCCAAAAACCUUGACUCUCUUUUCAUUAAAGCCCUUCUCAGAACUUUAAUUCUUAACUGAAAAAAAUGCUGAGUUGCUUGUGUUUGUUUCCUUACAUCUUAGAACCUUUCCUUCUUUCUGAGACUUCCCAGCUAUCUGGUGCAUGAUAGCGACAGCUACUUUACAUAUACUGUAAAACAGCACCUUUCAUAUUAUUGCUGCUAGCGUAUAACAAUGUCAUGGAGAGGUGCCAAUCUUGGUAUGAUUCUUAAACUAAAAAGUAAUCCCAUGACUGGGAGCAUCUUUAGAGAGCUAUUCUGAACGUGUUAUAUGCUUUUUGUAUUGGAUACUGUUUGGCAGAUUCCUGCACAGAGCAGAGGGUUGGAUUGGACCAGGACUGCUCAACUUGCAGCCCUCUAGAUGUUUCCUAACUACAACUCCCAGGAUUCCACUCCAGGCAUUUGAAAGUAGAGGACUGCAAGUUGAGCCACCCUGGACAAGAAGUCCUCUAAGGUACUUUCCAGUUCAUCUGUUCUUUGGUUCUGGAAGUGCCUGAGUUUUGGCAGAUCUCCUGAUUUUGGCACCUACCACGGACUUCAAAAAUCCAGUCAUCGUACCGCUGACAUGCCACAGGCUUCUGGCCUGGUGGUUGCAAAUUGUACUGGCUUGAUUUUGGUAAAAGUGAAGGCAUGGAUAGACUUCUAUUUUAAGCUAGUAUUCAGAACCAAACUAAGUCUACAUAUUUGCUUUCAAAAUUUGCAGACAUGUUAUUAGCAUCAGAAGUCAGUGUGUUUCAAGGAACAGCUAAGAAUGAGGGAUGUGGGCUUCUUUGAAUGAGCAUUAAUGGGUACCUUUGAAUUAAAGACAGAAGCAUCUGAAAUUCAGUAGUGCUUUAUAUGUAAAUAUGUGUGGGAGUUCACAUCCUCUCAGGAAAAAGGAGCAUUUGGAAUUGACUCUGAGAAGGGUGUUGCACUGAGAAACAUUUCUGGGUUAAAUGGAUAAAUAGUUUGAUUGAAUGAUACUUCCUUAAACCAUUGCCUUUUACAGCUUGCAUGAACAACUUUUUUGAAUCAAGGGUCUAUCAUGUUAUUAACAUGUUUUGAGAGCCACAAUUCGAAAGUGGUUGGGACAGUUGCACAUAGUUAAAGCAGAAAUGAACUUAGCAAGUUAUCAGGCAGAGCAAAUACAUAUAAAUAAAUGCACAGGUAGCUCUGUCUCUCCA